GACGAACGCUGGCGGCGUGCCUAAUACAUGCAAGUCGAGCGAGCGGAACCAACAGAUUUACUUCGGUAAUGACGUUGGGAAAGCGAGCGGCGGAUGGGUGAGUAACACGUGGGGAACCUGCCCCUAAGUCUGGGAUACCAUUUGGAAACAGGUGCUAAUACCGGAUAAUAAAGCAGAUCGCAUGAUCAGCUUUUGAAAGGCGGCGUAAGCUGUCGCUAAGGGAUGGCCCCGCGGUGCAUUAGCUAGUUGGUAAGGUAACGGCUUACCAAGGCGACGAUGCAUAGCCGAGUUGAGAGACUGAUCGGCCACAUUGGGACUGAGACACGGCCCAGACUCCUACGGGAGGCAGCAGUGGGGAAUCUUCCGCAAUGGGCGAAAGCCUGACGGAGCAAUGCCGCGUGAGUGAUGAAGGAAUUCGUUCCGUAAAAGCUCUUUUGUUUAUGACGAAUGUGCAGACUGUGAAUAAUGGUUUGAAUGACGGUAGUAAACGAAUAAG
RNAcentral lists this ribosomal RNA (496 nucleotides) under uncultured bacterium. Its description in RNAcentral is "bacterial SSU rRNA". It matches the Rfam family "Bacterial small subunit ribosomal RNA", at positions 28 to 490 of the family's 1533-position model. The record is from RNAcentral.